ACUCAAAUGAACCGUGAAACGAACGCAUAGGAAGAAAUGGAGCUCUUUUCUCACUUUCUUCCUUUAUAAGAUUAAAUGAAGCUCUUAUUUAUCGUUUAGUGAACUGAAUUUGUGCAGAUGAAAAGAAACGUCCGUGCUUAGGGCACUCUUUAAGGUUGCCAGUGCAUUCUGGGAUGGAUGGAGCAGUAAGAGACGGAACUUUACUUCAACUUAAAGUUCCUGUGAUGUUUGUGCAGAAAAGCACCUUGAAACUUAAGGGAUCGACCCAAGAGGGAGCUGAAGAUGCAACUCUUGAAGCCAUUGCAAUAUAGCAUUCGUUUCGGAUCACCCGAAACAUCAAUCUGCCGGUAGACAAUAUAGAAUUCGUUCGUUCGAAUUAGCUUUGCAAGGUUGAAUGUUUUAUCAGAGUGAAAGAUUGCAGGCGUCAAUUAUCAACAAACAAAACCAUGACAUAUUCAUAAAACUAUUAUCUGUUUUGCCUUUUUAUUUGAUAGGUGAUAUGAUAAUUUGUAGGAUUACAUAGGAUUACAUGCCAUAUUUGACUGCUGUAGAGACUGCAGGUCAAUUUUAUUUAGUGUGUAGUAUGGCAACUCUAUGUGCCAGGUACAUCAUCUAUUGUGCUUCUUGUGCAGAAGGGUUUUCACCUUUAGUCGCUAUCGUUGUUGUCGUCUUUGCACUUCUUGUGAUUCUCCUUCUUCUCCUUGUUCUUCUCGGGCUUCUUUUCCUUUUCCUUUUCCUUCUUGUCUUUCUUUUCUUUCUUCUCCUUGUUGUCUUUCAUCUUCUUUUCCUUCUUUCCGUGGUCCAUACCAUGAGCCACAUGUUGCGGAGCACGUAUGCCGUGGCUCGGGGCCUUGGACUCGGCAUGCUGAGCAGCAUGGAUGCCGUGGUUCUGCUGGUUGUGAACAUGAUGUUAACUCACACUCUUACUCUCCUUAAGAACUUGGUUGUGGCCGCCGACCAGAUGAUAUCCAUGGCUCGUUUCGUCCGGCUUUUUCUCGACAGGACGCACACACUGUUCCGUAGCCAUAGCGAU
Long non-coding RNA from Hibiscus syriacus, 1033 nucleotides. RefSeq lists it as uncharacterized. The transcript has 3 exons. The record is from RefSeq and is a predicted model, not a curated record. NCBI's taxonomy places the organism in Eukaryota, Viridiplantae, Streptophyta, Magnoliopsida, Malvales, Malvaceae.